Non-coding RNA from Xyrichtys novacula (pearly razorfish), 417 nucleotides. The record is from the annotation of a GenBank genome assembly. NCBI's taxonomy places the organism in Eukaryota, Metazoa, Chordata, Actinopteri, Labriformes, Labridae.
CUCGCUUCCUGCCUCUUCGGCCCGCCCACUUCCGGGUCGUUGCCCAUACUGCUCACCUCGGAGCACAGGUAGGCUCACAUUGGCAUGUGAUUUGUGCACCCUCGUCUGGGUUUUAUUUAAUCUAAAUCGUCGUUGAUUGCUAGAUCUGGCAUUUGGCGUCUGGGGACGAGACUGUCGGGCGCGUUCACCGCUGUCAUCCAAGCCUAGGUGAGUCAUGGCGAGCUACCUUUUGUUUGUUGUUGUUAGCCAGGUGCUAAGCCCCUUUCCGCUCCUUCUCUCAUAGUUGUCGGUCUCCUCGUGCAGCGCGUGGCUGUCUCCGCCUGCUGUGCAGGCUUUCUUCACCCCUCUCCCUCUUGGACGGGACUAAAACUCCCGGCGGAUGAACCGGACCUUGCAGACCCUGAAAGCUAAGCACGA